GACAGAGGUGGCAAGCGUUGUUCGGAUUUAUUGGGCGUAAAGAGCGCGUAGGCGGUCUCUUAAGUCGGUGGUGAAAUCCCGGGGCUUAACCCCGGAAUCGCCCUCGAUACUGGGAGACUUGAGUGCGGGAGAGGGUAGUGGAAUUCCCAGUGUAGAGGUGAAAUUCGUAGAUAUUGGGAAGAACACCGGUGGCGAAGGCGGCUACCUGGACCGCAACUGACGCUGAGGCGCGAAAGCGUGGGGAGCAAAC
This 250-nucleotide ribosomal RNA is filed under the name uncultured bacterium. RNAcentral describes it as "partial 16S ribosomal RNA". It matches the Rfam family "Bacterial small subunit ribosomal RNA", at positions 524 to 773 of the family's 1533-position model. The record is from RNAcentral.